This 405-nucleotide small RNA is filed under the name Pseudomonas sp. M30-35. Its description in RNAcentral is "Pseudomonas sRNA CrcZ". It matches the Rfam family "Pseudomonas sRNA CrcZ". The record is from Rfam by way of RNAcentral. Lineage: Bacteria; Pseudomonadati; Pseudomonadota; Gammaproteobacteria; Pseudomonadales; Pseudomonadaceae.
ACAACAACAAUAACAAGCAGCAAACAAGACAAUAAAAAUAAAACGUAACGACUCCAGUACAAUAAAAACAAUAGGACAGGAGGCGCAGAAAACUGAUUCUUUUGGGUAGAGGAUAUGCUUUUGGGGCUUGCCCCGCGACCAGGUAGAGAACAACAAAACUGCUCUUAGGCAGCACCUGAACUGGUUGGGUCACGGAAUGAUCAUCGCACUGUCAGCAUCCAAAGAAAUCCGUUUGCUAUUAACUCUCAACUUGAGAGGUUUUCCUGAGGUCUUUGACCAGAAGGAACGGGCAAUUCAACAAAAACAACAAGCCCGAAAUAAUAAUAAAAAUAAAGCACGCAACAAUUUAAGAGGGAGCUUCGGCUCCCUCAGUGCUUUCUGGGUUUCCAGAAUGAUUCACCUCUC